Pan troglodytes (chimpanzee) is the source of this 680-nucleotide long non-coding RNA. RefSeq lists it as uncharacterized. The record is from RefSeq and is a predicted model, not a curated record. NCBI's taxonomy places the organism in Eukaryota, Metazoa, Chordata, Mammalia, Primates, Hominidae. The transcript is spliced from 5 exons.
GCUUCAGGAUGAUGGGGAAAAUGGUAAGACCAGUGAAUCCCAUGAGUGUGAGUCCACUGCUGUACUUCUUUAGCCAUAAAGCCAAUUGGGAGAGUUGAAGAGGAAUGUGGUGGGAAUCACCACCCCUGCAUCUUUCAAGUCCUUGAUGGUGCCACUGAUCUCUGCAAUCACUCCAGGGAUGCGAUAUUAUUUUUUGAUUUACUAUUUUUCUAGUUAAAGGCAGCUCUAAUGGCUCGAUUUGGCCUCUCCCACAGUAAUAGCCCUCAUCCUACCAGUCAGGGAGCCAAUGUGAGGAUUCUGCCAGCUGAUUACAGCUGAGAAGUCAACUCUGAAAUAUCACAUGCCAUAAUAUGGUCCUACUUACUGCAAGCAACUGGACUCAGUUCAUAUUCAUUACUUCAACCUCCUUCAGAUGAUGGAGGAAAUGCAACGAUGUGCAAAUCUCACUUUCUGAAUUCAUGCCUCUGGGGACAACAUGAGAUUCAGAAACCGGGGAAAUCACGGUUUCAGAUUCCAUCUUGUGUCCAAUGACACAUUGGAGACUGGUUGUUUUACCGAGGCUUUGACUGGAAGGGUCUGCUCCCCUUUAAAGAAUCAGUCUUGACUUGCAGAGCCAAUAAAAGUCCCUUGGGAAAACUGGCUUCAUACCUUGGCUACACAGUCAUUGUACAGGUUUCUUA